UACGUAGGGUGCAAGCGUUGUCCGGAAUUAUUGGGCGUAAAGAGCUCGUAGGCGGUUUGUUGCGUCGGCUGUGAAAUCCCGAGGCUCAACCUCGGGUCUGCAGUCGAUACGAGCAAACUAGAGUGUUGCAGGGGAGACUGGAAUUCCUGGUGUAGCAGUGAAAUGCGUAGAUAUCAGGAGGAAUACCGAUGGCGAAGGCAGGUCUCUGGGCUGACACUGACGCUCAUGCACGAAAGCGUGGGGAGCAAACAGG
RNAcentral lists this ribosomal RNA (253 nucleotides) under uncultured bacterium. RNAcentral describes it as "partial 16S ribosomal RNA". It matches the Rfam family "Bacterial small subunit ribosomal RNA", at positions 524 to 776 of the family's 1533-position model. The record is from RNAcentral.